AUGUUUUCACACUCAAUAGGUUGUUGUAGGUUUUGAUAUUUGUCAACUUCAUGAUAAUUAAAAAAAACAAAGAAAAAGGAGGGGAUAAAAAUAGAAAGAAAGUUUUGCUUAUUAUUUAUUUUUUGUUAAAGGUAAACCUUUAUGUCCUUGUGUUACACAUUGUUGUUCAUUUAUGUGUAGAUGGACCAAAGCUUCCAUCUUAGAAGAUGCUAUCAAGUACAUAAAACAUCUUCAAGAACAUGUUCAAACUUUAGAGAAUGGGCAAGAAAAAAUUAGUGGAACCUACUAUACAUUCAAUAAUGAAAUGUGGACCUUCUUGGAAGAUGACAUAUUUUAUCUGAUGAGAAUUUGGACGAAAACUUCAGAAAAUGUUCCUGAGAUUGAAGCAAAAAUUCAGAGAAAAUGUUCUCUUUAGAAUCCAUUGCGAGAAAAAUGGUGACGUAGUAGCAAAAAUAUUAAGCAAAAUGCCAACGCUUCAUCUGAAUGUCGUCAGCAGUAGUGUUCUUCCAUUUGGCGUAGCUCUCGAGAUAACUAUUGUUGCUCAGGUGGAUGAAGAAUUUCACAUGACUGUCGAGGAUCUUGUGAAAACUUAGAUCAGUUGUUUUGAAUUUCCUAUGACGUUUCACUUAAUCAAAUUCGUUUUGUGCGUUCAAUAUUGUAACAUUUUUGCUUUCAAAAAGUCUAUUUUGGACAAGAGUGGCUUGUCUCUUUUAAUAAAACUAGUUGGGCGCGUGGGAGUCGCAUUGCUA
Camellia sinensis is the source of this 749-nucleotide non-coding RNA. Lineage: Eukaryota; Viridiplantae; Streptophyta; Magnoliopsida; Ericales; Theaceae. The record is from RefSeq and is a predicted model, not a curated record.